Molecule: long non-coding RNA, 396 nt
Organism: Magnolia sinica
Lineage: Eukaryota; Viridiplantae; Streptophyta; Magnoliopsida; Magnoliales; Magnoliaceae
Exons: 4
Source: RefSeq, a predicted model, not a curated record
CAUUUUCAUCGAGCGGGUCCCUCUUAGAGCUGCUUGUGUUUCUAUCUUCCAAAUGUGAUCCGAAUCUCAGCAAUGGAAGCGUUAGAUCAAAGAUUGAAGAUCUAAACUGGGAUCCGUGCGGGAGUUGCCGGGAGAUUCACGGACUGAUGCGAUUCCCCGGUAGGUGAAUCUUGCCUUCUGCUAAACUGGUGAACCCUGAACUUGUGGCGCGGUCAGAACCAGUUGCUGAGUUGCUUGAUUUGGAUCUGAAAGAGGGUUGUCGGCUGGAUUGCUUAGGCAAGCUACAUACACAAUAGCACGACUUGGGUCAUUUAGUGUAGUGGUCAACUUAUUUCAAAUAUUAAUGAUGCAUUUUGACAACGUAAUGGAUUCUGUGGUGCAUUAAAUGCUUCCAUA